This 467-nucleotide ribosomal RNA is filed under the name uncultured bacterium. RNAcentral's name for it is "partial 16S ribosomal RNA". It matches the Rfam family "Bacterial small subunit ribosomal RNA", at positions 29 to 507 of the family's 1533-position model. The record is from RNAcentral.
ACGAACGCUGGCGGCGUGCUUAACACAUGCAAGUCGCACGGAAAGGCCCUGCUUUUGUGGGGUGCUCGAGUGGCGAACGGGUGAGUAACACGUGAGUAACCUGCCCUUGACUUUGGGAUAGCUUCAGGAAACUGGGGCUAAUACCGGAUAGGAGCUCCUGCUGCAUGGUGGGGGUUGGAAAGUUUCGGCGGUUGGGGAUGGACUCGCGGCUUAUCAGCUUGUUGGUGGGGUAGUGGCUUACCAAGGCUUUGACGGGUAGCCGGCCUGAGAGGGUGACCGGCCACAUUGGGACUGAGAUACGGCCCAGACUCCUACGGGAGGCAGCAGUGGGGAAUAUUGCACAAUGGGCGGAAGCCUGAUGCAGCAACGCCGCGUGCGGGAUGACGGCCUUCGGGUUGUAAACCGCUUUCGCCUGUGACGAAGCGUGAGUGACGGUAAUGGGUAAAGAAGCACCGGCUAACUACGUG